AUGGGAUUUGGGGGAACCCACAUCAGAAGCUCAGGCACCCUGUUCCCAGAACAGCCCUCCCAAGGUCACGGGGAGACCUUGAGAUAUAGGAGGAGAGCAGCUGGGGUCCAGGGCCCAAACUCAUGGCCUGUGUGACCAGAGGCCAGGCUGUGCCCUGGUUGGCACAGAAACAGCUGCUGACCCUCUGCCUUGACCUACCCCAGGUGGCAGAGGAGCCUGUCUGGGGUCCUGUGGGGUCUGAAGUCCAAGAGCCCUUCCCAAAGGUUUGGAUCACACAAGGCCACCAAGGCUUCUGUGAGAUCUGUGGGGACAGGAGGCCCCCUCUCCAAUGUCACCUACCAGGAUCCAGGAGGCUGGGGCUGCACGGAACCCUGGGACACUGUGACAGAGAGGGGCUGGCAUGUGGCCAGUGUCUGACGAGCGAGCUUGGCACUCCCCACAUGGCCUGAGUACAGCUCAGCUUGGGCCACCCCCUCCAUGGUCCUCUGGUAUCUCAGAGAGCACUGGAGACCCUCAGGACACAGAGCUAAAGUUGCCAGAAGCCAGGCUGUCCCUGGUCCCAUGGGACCACUUGGGUACCAGCCUUAAGACUUCUGGUCUGGUCAGCAAUAUGCUGCAACAGCCACC
RNAcentral lists this long non-coding RNA (627 nucleotides) under Marmota monax (woodchuck). Lineage: Eukaryota; Metazoa; Chordata; Mammalia; Rodentia; Sciuridae. The record is from RNAcentral.